RNAcentral lists this ribosomal RNA (444 nucleotides) under uncultured bacterium. RNAcentral describes it as "SSU rRNA". It matches the Rfam family "Bacterial small subunit ribosomal RNA", at positions 26 to 518 of the family's 1533-position model. The record is from RNAcentral.
AGAACGAACGCUGGCGGCACGCCUAACACAUGCAAGUCGAGCGCCCAGCAAUGGGAGCGGCGGACGGGUGAGGAACACGUGGGAACAUGCCUUUCGGUUCGGCACAACUGCGGGAAACUGCAGCUAAUUCCGGAUACGCCCUUACGGGGAAAGAUUUAUCGCCGAAAGAUUGGCCCGCGUCUGAUUAGCUAGUUGGUGAGGUAAUGGCUCACCAAGGCUUCGAUCAGUAGCUGGUUUGAGAGAACGACCAGCCACACUGGGACUGAGACACGGCCCAGACUCCUACGGGAGGCAGCAGUGGGGAAUCUUGGACAAUGGAGGAAACUCUGAUCCAGCGAUGCCGCGUGAGUGAUGAAGGCCUUCGGGUUGUAAAACUCUUUUACCAGGGAAGAUAAUGACUGUACCUGGAGAAUAAGCCCCGGCUAACUUCGCGCCAGCAGCCGC